UCCUUUAUAGUUUAUAAAAAACACUAAUCUUGUAAAUUGGAGAAGGAUAAACGAGAUUCCUAAAGGAA
RNAcentral lists this transfer RNA (68 nucleotides) under Columbicola passerinae. RNAcentral describes it as "tRNA-Thr". The record is from RNAcentral. Lineage: Eukaryota; Metazoa; Arthropoda; Insecta; Psocodea; Philopteridae.